RNAcentral lists this ribosomal RNA (505 nucleotides) under bacterium enrichment culture. RNAcentral describes it as "partial 16S ribosomal RNA". It matches the Rfam family "Bacterial small subunit ribosomal RNA", at positions 339 to 858 of the family's 1533-position model. The record is from RNAcentral.
CUACGGGAAGCAGCAGUGGGGAAUAUUGGACAAUGGGGGCAACCCUGAUCCAGCAAUGCCGCGUGAGUGAMGAAGGCCUUAGGGUUGUAAAGCUCUUUCGCCCGKGACGAUGAUGACGGUAMCGGGAGAAGAAGCCCCGGCUAAUUCCGUGCCAGCAGCCGCGGUAAUACGGAAGGGGCUAGCGUUGUUCGGAUUUUACUGGGCGUAAAAGCGGCAUGUAGGCGGCCGGMUCAAGUGRGGCGUGAAAGSCCYGGGCUCAACCYGGGAACSGCGCUUCAGACKGGKYKGCUCGAGUYCGGGAGAGGGUGGUGGAAUUCCCAGUGUAGAGGUGAAAUUCGUAGAUAUUGGGARGAACACCGGUGGCGAAGGCGGCCACCUGGCCCGRKACUGACGCUMRAGYGCGAAAGCGUGGGGAGCAAACAGGAUUAGAUACCCUGGUAGUCCACGCYGUAAACGAUGRGUGCUAGAUGUCGGGGGGCUUGCYCUUCGGUGUCGCMGCUAACGC